Molecule: transfer RNA, 89 nt
Filed under: Burkholderiales bacterium
Lineage: Bacteria; Pseudomonadati; Pseudomonadota; Betaproteobacteria; Burkholderiales
Also listed under: 3 other names
Description: tRNA-Leu
Rfam family: tRNA
About the family: Transfer RNA (tRNA) molecules are approximately 80 nucleotides in length. Their secondary structure includes four short double-helical elements and three loops (D, anti-codon, and T loops).
Source: RNAcentral
GCCCAGGUGGCGAAACUGGUAGACGCAGCGGACUUAAAAUCCGCCGGCCUUGACCGGCCGUGCCGGUUCGAUUCCGGCCCUGGGCACCA